AGUGCUAAGUGUUGGGGGUCGAACCUCAGUGCUGAAGUUAACGCAUUAAGCACUCCGCCUGGGGAGUACGGUCGCAAGACUGAAACUCAAAGGAAUUGACGGGGACCCGCACAAGCGGUGGAGCAUGCGGUUUAAUUCGAAGCAACGCGAAGAACCUUACCAGGUCUUGACAUACCAUUGAUGUCUCUAGAGAUAGAGAGUUUCCUUCGGGGACAAUGGAUACAGGUGGUGCAUGGUUGUCGUCAGCUCGUGUCGUGAGAUGUUGGGUUAAGUCCUGCAACGAGCGCAACCCCUGUCGUUAGUUGCCAGCAGUGAGAUGGGGACUCUAACGAGACUGCCAGUGACAAACUGGAGGAAGGUGGGGAUGACGUCAAAUCAUCAUGCCCCUUAUGACCUGGGCUGCACACGUGCUACAAUGGUUGGUACAAAGAGAAGCGAAGCGGUGACGUGGAGCAAACCUCAGAAAGCCAAUCUCAGUUCGGAUUGUAGGCUGCAACUCGCCUACAUGAAGUUGGAAUCGCUAGUAAUCGCGAAUCAGAAUGUCGCGGUGAAUACGUUCCCGGGUCUUGUACUCACCGCCCGUC
This 584-nucleotide ribosomal RNA is filed under the name uncultured bacterium. RNAcentral describes it as "bacterial SSU rRNA". It matches the Rfam family "Bacterial small subunit ribosomal RNA", at positions 812 to 1398 of the family's 1533-position model. The record is from RNAcentral.